UGGAGGGAACUCGGAUUUGGCGCGACGGGGGAUCUUGGGCGUGGUUUUCGAUACCGUGCGUAUCUCACAUCGGCGCUCGAUGCCACGCGGUUCGAUGCCGAGAGUGGAAUUACGGAGGGCCGCACCGCCGGAUUUGACUCCUCGCUUAGAAAUCCGGCAAAAGUGGCGCGGCUGGAGUUCGCCGGCGUUCGCAGGUUGACACUCGGCACUAGCUUCUAUUCGGGACACUCCGGAUUCAACACU
Molecule: unclassified non-coding RNA, 243 nt
Filed under: uncultured bacterium
Lineage: Bacteria
Description: contains 16S-23S intergenic spacer region
Source: RNAcentral